AAACUCAUCAGCGUAACAACAGGUGGUUUAAAAAAAUCCACAGCCAGCAAAAAGCUUUGGUGAGUUAUUCUUUUCGUCUGCCCUGAUCCUUCCAACAUUAUGCUUCAUGUGGUGGUGGGGAAGUUCUAUUAUGAUCAGAGGGAGAAAAAAAGAGUCUCCCUAUCCAUUUCUCAACACCAUAAUUUUCUACACCUCUUAGCAUGUCCCCCACCCCCUUCCCCAAACUCUUCUUUUUUCCAAACUAAAAAGCCCUCAACAGUCUAACUUCCAACCCCUUGGUCAUUGUGGCUGUCCUUUUCUGCAACCUGAAGAUUCCUCUUGUGCUUUAACUUGCCCAUGGCAAUCCAUGCUCUGGUAACUUCCAUAUUAGACUGCUGCAAUGCACUCUACAUGGGGUUGCAGCUAGACUGGUGACUAGGAGUGGCUGCCAAGACCACAUAACAUUGGUCCUGAAAGACCUACAUUGGCUCCCAGUACAUUUCUGAGCACAAUUCAAAGUGUUGGUGCUGACCUUUAAAGCCCUAAACAGCAUCAGCCCAGUAUACUUGAAGGAGCAUCUCCAUCCCCCAUCAUUCACUGAGGUCCAGCGCCGAGGGCCUUCUGAGGGUUCCCUCACUGUGAGAAGCAAAGUUACAGGGAACCAGGCAGAAGACCUUCUCAGUAGUGGCGCCCACUCUGUGGAACGCCCUCCCAUCAGAUGUCAAGGAAAUAAACAACUAUCUGACUUUUAGAAGACAUAUGAAAGCAGCCCUGUUUAGGGAAGUUUUUAAUGUUUGGUGUUUUAUUGCAUUUUUAAUAUUUUGUUGGAAGCCACCCAGAGUAGCUGGGGAAACCCAGCCAGAUGGGUGGGGUAUAAAUAAAUUUAUUAUUAUUAUUAUUAUUAUUAUUAUUAUUAUUAUUUGGAAACAUCAACAGGUUCGAAAUGAGGCAACCAGAUUAUUGGUUAGGGUUGCCUUGAGAACUCAGAUAAACUCCUGUUCUAAAAAAUCUGGAUUGGCUGCCAGAUCAAUUUAAUUUGCUCACACUGGAGUUUAAAGCCCCAAAAAUAACUUAGGUCCCAAAUAUCCUAAAGAUUACCUCCUUCCCUAAAGACCCUCCAAGGUUUUAGGAUCAACUUAGGGGACCCUCUUGGUAGUUCCACCUCCCUAACAUAUUCAGGGUAGUGGCAGCCCCUAAGUUGCAGAACUCCCUCCCCACAGAGGUGUGCUUGGCAACUUCACCAUGCAGCUUUCAACAAAUGCUGAAGACGAACCUCUUUAGCUGACCUUUGACACCUAAAAAGUGUGUUUUCAAGGCCCGCCACAUUCUUGUGACUGUCAUCUGUUUUAACUGUUUUAAAUCCUGGAUCUUAAAUUGUUGUAACCCACGCUGAGACCUUCUGGUGAUGAUGAGGAUGGUAAAUUGUGAUGCUGCUGUUGGCAUCCAUCUGUCUCAAAAGACAAUGGAGUUUGCCUCCAGGGGAAAAGUCAAAGCAAAGUGACCUUCCCAGGGCGCAAGCCUGGGCAGUGUGUAUGGGGGUGGGGUCCUGGGCUGCCCAGACAACAAGACCUUCUCAGUCUCACUGAUGUGAUCCAAAGGAAGGCAGGGCAAUACGUUUGGCACCAACCUGACUGCAGGAAUUGCUGCAAGGAGAUGUACAAGGCUCCAUCCAACCACCUUGGGGACUCCACUCCAGAUUUGUGUAGGGUUUACUCAGAAAACUCUGGUCCUAGACCUCCACUGCCUUGUGGAACAUCUCUGGGGAAUUAUGAUGAAUAAGAUGGUUUUACUGUACCUGGGGAGGCAAGGCAUGGUGGCUUCUCACACCUGCUGCCCUCCCCAUCCUUUUGUCUAUUCCUUCACAGCACACCUGUUCCUGACCACAGAUUGGGGAGAGGGAUGGAUGGAAAGACUGGAGGCAGGAAAAGGCAGGAGAGAACCUACUGCUGCCUCAUCUGGUUAAAGCGGUGGUGAAUCUAAGGUACAGGGGGAAUCUCUCAAUCGCAUCCUAGCCGGUUUACUUAUCUCAACGCUCUUUGAUGUGAGGUUAACAGAGAAGGGGACAAAAGGCCCCAUUUGCAAUUAGAUGGAAUCUCUGCACUGGAGCGCUUCAAUUAGAAUGCAGCUUUGGUUUACAAACACA
Molecule: long non-coding RNA, 2122 nt
Filed under: Podarcis lilfordi (Lilford's wall lizard)
Lineage: Eukaryota; Metazoa; Chordata; Lepidosauria; Squamata; Lacertidae
Source: RNAcentral